RNAcentral lists this ribosomal RNA (468 nucleotides) under uncultured bacterium. RNAcentral describes it as "partial 16S ribosomal RNA". It matches the Rfam family "Bacterial small subunit ribosomal RNA", at positions 28 to 507 of the family's 1533-position model. The record is from RNAcentral.
GAUGAACGCUGGCGGCGUGCUUAACACAUGCAAGUCGAACGGAAAGGCCCUGGCUUGCAGGGGUACUCGAGUGGCGAACGGGUGAGUAACACGUGAGUGACCUGCCCUUGACUUCGGGAUAACUCUGGGAAACUGGGGCUAAUACCGGAUAGGACCACUUUCUGCAUGGUGGGGUGUGGAGAUUUUCGGCGGGGGGGGAUGGGCUCGCGGCUUAUCAGCUUGUUGGUGGGGUAGUGGCCUACCAAGGCGUCGACGGGUAGCCGGCCUGAGAGGGUGGACGGCCACAUUGGGACUGAGAUACGGCCCAGACUCCUACGGGAGGCAGCAGUGGGGAAUAUUGCACAAUGGGCGGAAGCCUGAUGCAGCGACGCCGCGUGGGGGAUGACGGCCUUCGGGUUGUAAACUGCUUUCGCUAGGGACGAAGCGUGAGUGACGGUACCUGGAGAAGAAGCACCGGCUAACUACGUG